AAAUCCGUCGAUUUAUAAAAUCGUGAGGGUUCAAGUCCCUCUAUCCCCA
This 49-nucleotide transfer RNA is filed under the name Melocarpum hildebrandtii. RNAcentral's name for it is "partial tRNA-Leu". Lineage: Eukaryota; Viridiplantae; Streptophyta; Magnoliopsida; Zygophyllales; Zygophyllaceae. RNAcentral also lists the same sequence under 3 other names. The record is from RNAcentral.